GACGAACGCUGGCGGCGUGCCUAAUACAUGCAAGUAGAACGCUGAAGGAGGAGCUUGCUUCUCCGGAUGAGUUGCGAACGGGUGAGUAACGCGUAGGUAACCUGCCUGGUAGCGGGGGAUAACUAUUGGAAACGAUAGCUAAUACCGCACAACAGUAGAUAUCGCAUGAUAUCUGCUUGAAAGGUGCAAUUGCAUCACUACCAGAUGGACCUGCGUUGUAUUAGCUAGUUGGUGAGGUAACGGCUCACCAAGGCGACGAUACAUAGCCGACCUGAGAGGGUGAUCGGCCACACUGGGACUGAGACACGGCCCAGACUCCUACGGGAGGCAGCAGUAGGGAAUCUUCGGCAAUGGACGGAAGUCUGACCGAGCAACGCCGCGUGAGUGAAGAAGGUUUUCGGAUCGUAAAGCUCUGUUGUAAGAGAAGAACGAGUGUGAGAGUGGAAAGUUCACACUGUGACGGUAUCUUACCAGAAAGGGACGGCUAACUACGUG
This 495-nucleotide ribosomal RNA is filed under the name uncultured bacterium. Its description in RNAcentral is "partial 16S ribosomal RNA". It matches the Rfam family "Bacterial small subunit ribosomal RNA", at positions 28 to 507 of the family's 1533-position model. The record is from RNAcentral.